AGUUUUGCACAGUGGCAGUAUCGUAGUCAAUGAGGUUUAUCUGAGGCAUGAUUAUUGCUAAUUGAAAAAAAAAAUCCAGGAAGAAAUAGCCUUAGAGACGAUGCUAGAUCUUAAUAUAUUAUUAUUUUAUCAAAU
This 135-nucleotide small nuclear RNA is filed under the name Neogale vison (American mink). RNAcentral describes it as "Neovison vison (American mink) U4 spliceosomal RNA (ENSNVIG00000003165.1)". It matches the Rfam family "U4 spliceosomal RNA". From Rfam's summary of the family: U4 small nuclear RNA (U4 snRNA) is a component of the major U2-dependent spliceosome. The structure of U4 snRNA from yeast and human has been reported. Lineage: Eukaryota; Metazoa; Chordata; Mammalia; Carnivora; Mustelidae. The record is from Rfam by way of RNAcentral.